GUCUGAUGUUUGCUAUUGGCAGUCCUGAGUGAACUGGCUUGUUAGAAUAUAUUUGUGCCCCUGUCUCAACAGAUCUUGCUGGACCACCAGUAUCGUUGUUGUGGCCACUGUACGUAUGUUUGUUGAUAUUAUUCAUGCUUAUUAAAAAAAAAUUUUUGUU
Molecule: long non-coding RNA, 160 nt
Organism: Alosa sapidissima (American shad)
Lineage: Eukaryota; Metazoa; Chordata; Actinopteri; Clupeiformes; Clupeidae
Exons: 3
Source: RefSeq, a predicted model, not a curated record